This 489-nucleotide ribosomal RNA is filed under the name uncultured bacterium. RNAcentral describes it as "partial 16S ribosomal RNA". It matches the Rfam family "Bacterial small subunit ribosomal RNA", at positions 30 to 507 of the family's 1533-position model. The record is from RNAcentral.
UUGAACGCUGGCGGCAGGCCUAACACAUGCAAGUCGCACGGUAACAGGAAGCAGCUUGCUGCUUCGCUGACGAGUGGCGGCCGGGUGAGUAAUGUCUGGGAAACUGCCUGAUGGAGGGGGAUAACUACUGGAAACGGUAGCUAAUACCGCAUAACGUCGCAAGACCAAAGAGGGGGACCUUAGGGCCUCUUGCCAUCGGAUGUGCCCAGAUGGGAUUAGCUAGUAGGUGGGGUAACGGCUCACCUAGGCGACGAUCCCUAGCUGGUCUGAGAGGAUGACCAGCCACACUGGAACCGAGACACGGUCCAGACUCCUACGGGAGGCAGCAGUGGGGAAUAUUGCACAAAGGGCGCAAGCCUGAUGCAGCCAUGCCGCGUGUAUGAAGAAGGCCUUCGGGUUGUAAAGUACUUUCAGCGGGGAGGAAGGGAGUAAAGUUAAUACCUUUGCUCAUUGACGUUACCCGCAGAAGAAGCACCGGCUAACUCCGUG